GUCAGCAUGAUAGACGGAGAGGCAAGGUAUAAUCCCGAUGACUCCCUGAUGAAACAUAUACAGAGGCUUAACCUAAUCCCUGAAGGAAUGACAAGGAAAGCAAGCACCUUAAAGAUGACCAUUCCAUUGUCUUCUGGCCUUCAUUGUUUCUGACUGAAAAUCAACCAUCUUUCAUAUUAUCGUUCCACUGUGGAAGUUGUCCAUGGAUCAACUAUUGAUAUUCCGUCAAGAUAACCAUUUCCCGGCUGAGUUCAGGUGCCUGAGGAAGAGCCACACCCUUGAAACAAAACACACCCAGAACAAACCGUACAGUCAUCUUUAACCUGGCCUGCUAUAGAAUGUCUCAGUUCCUUGUCACCUGGCACACAAGCUCCUGUGUUGAGUUGAACUGUAACUGGUUUUAUAUUGGGAGAGAGCGAAUUUGAAACCUUAAAAGAGAAAAAAAGUGGAGCAAAAUUGUUUGUUUUGACAAAGACUACAAGAUUUAAUAAGCAAGCUCUCAGUGAGAGUUCUUAAAAAGACAGACUUGUGUGUAUCAGGAGAGGCUGGGGAGGGCGUAGGCCAUAACGCACUGAUACGCAGGGGUGCACAGCUCCUGCGUUGGCUGGGGGUGGCUGGAGCUCUGCCGCACAAUUUCUUCACUUUGGGAUCCAGCUGCCCUCACAGCAAAGUCUCUCCAAACUUCUGUUCAGCAGCAACACAGGUAAUGUCUGCUCACAGUGUAUUGGCCAAACCAAGUCUCACAUCCAGGAGGGAGGGAAGUGUAAUUCUAUGACAGAAGAGGCAAUGAAUAUUUUGAACAUUAUACCUCUCCCACAGCUUGACAGAAGGAAGGAGUGGCAUGCAAGAAAAAUAUUAAACAACUAAUAUAGUCAGCAUGUUUGUUCAUUAAAAAAGGUAUUGAUGGAAAAUAAUGAAAAACAUAAAUUAGGGUUUUAAAAUAAUGCAGGAAAUCUAGGAUAAUGGAAAGUGGAGGAGACAUGAAUUUUAAAGAUUCUAAGGUCUUUGUACUUUUUGGUAUAAGGUCUUUGUACUUUUUGAUUAACUUUAAACUACUUUUAGGUAAAUGUGCAUUUUAGACACAGUAAUUAAGAGUAGAAAUAUAAUGGAUACCUUCCUAUUUCAGUUGAGAAGAAAGGGAUAUAAAGAAAUCAUAUCUAAUUCAUUAGAAAUAAGAGUAGUAGGUAAAACAUAAAUUAAAAAAAACAUAAUAAAGAGAAAAUGCAAAUGAGAUAACAAAAACAAGUUCAAAGAUUCAAACCUCAGCUAUGACCAAAAGAUCUCCUCAUUUAACAACAUAGACAACAAUAUUUAAAGUACUGGUAGUUCCUUACCUGGGUCAGGUUGCCUGCAGCCUUUAAGAAACCUUGGAAAUUCUGCUCAAGGAUUCUCACCAGUAACCCAGACUCCUCCAAAUGUCUUAAUAAAAUGUGCCAUUUGUAGUUUUCAGAAAUUGUAACAUGCAUAGGAGCCAGGUGAAGUUUGUCUUACAGAACAAUCUUACAAAGGCUUUUAACUCAGUGUUAAUGAUACCUAAAAGACAGACAAAGGCAUGAUACCCACUAAAGAACUAUGAAAUUAUGAAACAAACUUAGACGCAACUUUACAGUGGAAAAACUUGACAAACACUAGAACAGAGAUUUUAAAAGUAUCAGAAAUCUUGAAAAUAAAAAUCUAAUUUUUGAAAUUUAAAGGAGGCUUAAAACUCUAACUUUGGACAUAAGUGAAUUUAAAGGCAAUUUAGAAAAAGAAGGAUUUUUUUUUUAAUAUGAAAAAAAGUCAUUGAGGGGCUCCUGACUUCAGCUUAGGUCAUGAUCUCAGGGUCCUGGGAUUGAGCCCCUGCUUUGGGCUCCACGCUCAGUGGGGAGUCUGCUUCUUCCUCUCCCUCUGCCUCUACCCCUCCCCCUGCUUGUGCUCUGCCUGACUCUCUCAAAU
Molecule: long non-coding RNA, 1935 nt
Organism: Mirounga angustirostris (Northern elephant seal)
Lineage: Eukaryota; Metazoa; Chordata; Mammalia; Carnivora; Phocidae
Exons: 3
Source: RefSeq, a predicted model, not a curated record